Molecule: non-coding RNA, 25 nt
Filed under: Rattus norvegicus (Norway rat)
Lineage: Eukaryota; Metazoa; Chordata; Mammalia; Rodentia; Muridae
Source: RNAcentral
UACUGCAUGCUGGGAUUAUAGGUGU